RNAcentral lists this ribosomal RNA (253 nucleotides) under uncultured bacterium. Its description in RNAcentral is "partial 16S ribosomal RNA". It matches the Rfam family "Bacterial small subunit ribosomal RNA", at positions 524 to 776 of the family's 1533-position model. The record is from RNAcentral.
UACAGAGGUCCCAAGCGUUGUUCGGAUUCAUUGGGCGUAAAGGGUGUGUAGGUGGCGCCGUAAGUCGGGUGUGAAAUUUCGGAGCUUAACUCCGAAACUGCAUUCGAUACUGCGGUGCUUGAGGACUGGAGAGGAGACUGGAAUUCAUGGUGUAGCAGUGAAAUGCGUAGAGAUCAUGAAGAACAUCGGUGGCGAAGGCGCUCUGCUGGACCAUAACUGACACUCAGGGACGAAAGCUAGGGGAGCGAAUGGG